This 253-nucleotide ribosomal RNA is filed under the name uncultured bacterium. RNAcentral describes it as "partial 16S ribosomal RNA". It matches the Rfam family "Bacterial small subunit ribosomal RNA", at positions 524 to 776 of the family's 1533-position model. The record is from RNAcentral.
UACGUAGGGUGCGAGCGUUGUCCGGAAUUAUUGGGCGUAAAGGGCGCGUAGGCGGCUUUGCAAGUGGCGGGUGAAAUCCCUCGGCUUAACCGAGGAACUGCCUGCCAGACUGGAAGGCUUGAGACCGGGAGAGGUGAGUGGAAUUCCCAGUGUAGCGGUGAAAUGCGUAGAUAUCAGGAGGAACACCGGUGGCGAAGGCGGUUCUCUGGGACGGUACUGACGCUGAGACGCGAAAGCGUGGGGAGCAAACAGG